Molecule: ribosomal RNA, 1907 nt
Filed under: human gut metagenome
Description: bacterial LSU rRNA
Rfam family: Bacterial large subunit ribosomal RNA
Source: RNAcentral
UCAAGCUAGAAAGAGCGCAAGGGGAAUGCCUUGGCAUCAGGAGCCGACGAAGGACGUGACAAGCUGCGAUAAGCUGCGGUGAGCUGCACAUAAGCUUUGACCCGCAGAUUUCCGAAUGGGGAAACCCGGCAGAGCAAUACUCUGUCAGCGUGCGUUGAAUCAAAUAGGCGUACGCGGGGAACCGCCUGAACUGAAACAUCUAAGUAGGGCGAGGAAGAGAAAUCAACCGAGAUUCCGCUAGUAGUGGCGAGCGAACGCGGAAGAGGGCAAACCGGAGGAUUUAUCCUCCGGGGUUGUGGACAGUUUUUUAGCAACUGGAACUAGGAGAACGGUAUGGGAAGGCCGGCCAUAGCGGGUGAUAGCCCCGUAUCCGAAAGGGAAGGUUGUGCGACUGGAUCCAGAGUACCGCCGGACACGUGAAACCCGGUGGGAAGCUGGGGGGACCACCCUCCAACCCUAAAUACUACCUGAUGACCGAUAGAGGAGCAGUACCGUGAGGGAAAGGUGAAAAGGACCCCGGGAGGGGAGUGAAAGAGAACCUGAAACCUUGUGCUUACAAGCACUCAAAGCCCGUUAAAGGGUGAUGAGGUACCUUUUGUAGAAUGGUCCGGCGAGUUAUUGUUACUGGCAAGCUUAAGGCAUUCAGUGCCGGAGGCGCAGGGAGACCGAGUCUGAAUAGGGCGUAUGAAGUCAGUGGCAAUAGACCCGAAACCGGGUGACCUAUCCAUGGGCAGGUUGAAGUGGGGGUAAAACCCCAUGGAGGACCGAACGCACGCCCGUUGCAAUGGUCGGCGAUGACCUGUGGAUAGCGGUGAAAUUCCAAUCGAACUCGGAGAUAGCUGGUUCUCCCCGAAAUAGCUUUAGGGCUAGCGUUGGCUUAGAUUACCGGAGGUAAAGCACUGAAUGGGCUAGGGGCCGAUAAGGUUACUGAACCCUAUCAAACUCUGAAUGCCGGAUAAUUGAUGGCCAGCAGUCAGUCUACGUGAGAUAAGUCUCGUGGACAAAAGGGAAACAGCCCAGACCCACAGCUAAGGUCCCAAAGAUACGCUAAGUGGAAAACGAUGUGGAGUUGCGAAAACAACCAGGAUGUUGGCUUAGAAGCAGCCACUCAUUAAAAGAGUGCGUAAUAGCUCACUGGUCGAGUGACUCUGCGCGGAAAAUAUAACGGGGCUAAGCGUAACACCGAAGCUUGGGCUGCACAGCAAUGUGCGGGGUAGGGGAGCGUCGAAUAUGGGGUGAAGUCGCAGCGGAAGCAGCGGUGGACUGUAUUCGAGUGAGAAUGCCGGAAUGAGUAGCGAGAAUUAUGUGGGAAUCAUAAUGGCCGAAAAUCUAAGGUUUCCUGGGGAAGGUUCGUCCGCCCAGGGUAAGCCGGGAGCUAAGGCGAGGCCGAAAGGCGUAGUCGAUGCACAUACGGUUGAAAUUCCGUAGCCACCGAACCUUAAGUACACUGACACAUAGAGAUAGCGGGACCCGGGCGUUGGUUGACCCGGGCGUAAGGGACCGAACUUUAGUAGGGAAGUCCGCGAUGCUCUGUGGCGAGAAAAGGUGUAUGGUAUGCUAAGGUGCCCGUACCGCAAACCGACACAGGUAGAUGAGGAGAGAAUCCUAAGGCCAACGGGAGAAGGGUUGUUAAGGAACUCGGCAAAAUGACCCCGUAACUUCGGGAUAAGGGGAGCCUCCUACGGGAGGCCGCAGCGAAUAGGCCCAAGCGACUGUUUACCAAAAACACAGGUCUCUGCUAAAUCGAAAGAUGACGUAUAGGGGCUGACGCCUGCCCGGUGCUGGAAGGUUAAGAGGAGAUGUUAGCCGCAAGGCGAAGCAUUGAAUCGAAGCCCCAGUAAACGGCGGCCGUAACUAUAACGGUCCUAAGGUAGCGAAAUUCCUUGUCAGGUAAGUUCUGACCCGCA